This 1822-nucleotide long non-coding RNA is filed under the name Daucus carota (carrot). RNAcentral's name for it is "long non-coding RNA (DCAR_LNC001429)". The record is from RNAcentral. Lineage: Eukaryota; Viridiplantae; Streptophyta; Magnoliopsida; Apiales; Apiaceae.
UUAAUUACUACUACUAGAUGGCAGAGUCUAGAGUGGUAGGUUGAUAGUCCUGGUCUUGAACUAGUAGGAUGUAGUCAUUAUAUCUAAUAUCUAUCGAAAUUAUGAGAGUAGUAACGAAAAAUAGUGAUAUAUGCAUAAAAUUGAAUAUAAAAUUUUAUAAAAUAUUUUUUAGUUAUGCUAUCUAUGUGAAUAAGUAGGAUUACAAAGAUUCUGGAUCCAAUUUUGUUAUAUGAAAUAUUUUUCAAAUUGUAAUUGCCGUGGAAAAAGAAUAAAGAUGUGGCGACAUACAUAGAUGAUUCCUUGGUCCCUCGUACUCAAUUUAAUACCAAUGGGUCCAUUUUCGAACAUGGCAGUGGUCCGGUCAAAUGAAUUACAUAUCCACCGCGGAAAGCCCCUUGCUUUUGUCAAUGGAAUCUUUGGGCACACUCAUUAUUAUAUGAUUAACCCUUCUGUCAAAUAGGCCCUGGGAGGAAAACAACACCUCCGUUCCCUUUCAAAUGAUCUUUAGGUUCUUACACGUAUUUGACGCAGAACAAGAAUUAGCAAAUGAAUACAUGCAACUAUGCAACUUAUAAGUUAUAACUGCAAAAAAUGGAACAGAGGAUUUCAUUUCUAAUGAAUACGCAUUGUUUCUUCAAGAAAUUCGUAUUCUGUUUAUUUCUUUUAAAAUUUUUUGGGGGUUAAUUCGUGAAUUGUAGUCCGUAGGUUUAAAAUUUGUGUGAUGGUCUGGAUGGCUCGUGGCUAUAGUGUGUACAAAGGUUGAUGAAAAAGAUUGGCGAACGAGUCUCAUACUCUCAUUAUCAAUGACCUAACUCCUGCUACAUGUUGCUAUCUAUGCAUAAAGCUUGUGAGUAGAUUCAAGAAAUAUCUUCUGUAGUUAUCAAGUUAUGCGGGUCAGGAAUCACCUCUGCAGCUCUGCUUCGUCUGUUUUCAAGUGCAAUACUGUGCUAGUUUCAUUUUUCUUGCUUUGCUCACUUCCACUCUUAAAUUUCCAAAUUUAAUUGCAUGCGUGCCAUAACCCUGCCAGGUACAAGCUGCUGCUCUUCUUACAUAAGUUUCUUUAAACUACAGUUAUAUAAUUAUCUUCUAACCUUUACUUCUGUGUAGUUUCGAAUGAACGGCCAUUCCCAUAUUUCAAUAAGAAACAUCUCUUCUCAGUGCUCAUGGUUCCUCGUCUCCCUCUCCGAACAUGGGUCACAAUACCAAUACGAAACAGAGUAGUUGUGUAUUGCUUGAUGCUAGCAAGUUGAAACAUACAUGUGUAUAGAAGUUGGGUUAUUUAGAUCAGUCGUACCCUUAUUAAGCACCUAACAAUCUGCUUAGAAGAUUUAGUUGUAGUCUCCUCGCCUCAUAUUUAUCAACAACAAAUGUUAAGUUAGUCAUUUUGCACUUACCGAAUAAGAUUGUAUUGUAAUUAAUACUCCCUCCGUCCCUUUUUACAUGUCCACUUUGAAAAAGAAAAUUGUCCCAAAUUACUUGUCCACUUCUUUUUUCAAAGCAACUUUUUGUAUGUUUUUUCAAAAAAUAACAACUUCCAAUGUUUGACUAGCAUAUAUAUAUACACAACUCUAUCUAAUUCAUUACAUUUAUUAGGGAUAUGUAUGAAAACAAGAUAUUCAACUAACAUUUUCUUAAGAUGCGUUAUUUUUUCAAAAGGGACAAGUAAAAGGGGACGGAGGGAGUAAUACCGAAAAACGUAUGAAUUUGUGAUAAACAUAAUUACAAUUAAUAUGAUCAUACCAAACUUAAAUAACUUCGAACCAUUCAUGGUAAAACGUUUGGGUAGCAAAUAGACAGGGUUUACUCUGACAAAAGAUUGGAC